Molecule: ribosomal RNA, 502 nt
Filed under: Eryx miliaris
Lineage: Eukaryota; Metazoa; Chordata; Lepidosauria; Squamata; Erycidae
Description: partial 16S ribosomal RNA
Rfam family: Bacterial large subunit ribosomal RNA
Source: RNAcentral
UUAAAGGCGAUGCCUGCCCAGUGAAACAUUUAAACGGCCGCGGUACCCUAACCGUGCAAAGGUAGCGUAAUCAUUUGUCUAUAAAUUGUAGACCAGUAUGAAAGGCCACAUGAGAGCCAAACUGUCUCUUGUAACCWAUCAWUUAAACUGAUCUUCUAGUACAAAAGCUAGAAKAACCACAUAAGACCAGAAGACCCUGUGAAGCUUAAACUAACCUACUAAACAAACUAGUAGCUACUUUCGGUUGGGGCGACCUUGGAACAAAACAAAACUUCCWAACACAAUGAGCCAUCCCUCAKAACUACCAGGCAAACAAGCCAACAUAUGACCCAGUAACACUGAUAACUGAACCAAGUUACUCCAGGGAUAACAGCGCUAUCUUCUUCAAGAGCCCUUAUCAUAAAGAAGGUUUACGACCUCGAUGUUGGAUCAGGACACCCAGGUGGUGCAGCCGCUACCAAGGUUCGUUUGUUCAACGAUUAACAGUCCUACGUGAUCUGAU